UACGAAGGGGGCUAGCGUUGUUCGGAAUUACUGGGCGUAAAGCGUAUGCAGGCGGACUUUUAAGUCGGGGGUGAAAUCCCGAGGCUCAACCUCGGAACUGCCUUCGAUACUGGAAGUCUUGAGUCCGGGAGAGGUGAGUGGAACUCCGAGUGUAGAGGUGAAAUUCGUAGAUAUCCGGAAGAGCACCAGUGGCGAAGGCGGCUCACUGGCCCGGUACUGACGCUGAGAUACGAAAGCGUGGGGAGCAAACAGG
RNAcentral lists this ribosomal RNA (253 nucleotides) under uncultured bacterium. RNAcentral's name for it is "partial 16S ribosomal RNA". It matches the Rfam family "Bacterial small subunit ribosomal RNA", at positions 524 to 776 of the family's 1533-position model. The record is from RNAcentral.